Meleagris gallopavo (turkey) is the source of this 2234-nucleotide non-coding RNA. The record is from RefSeq and is a predicted model, not a curated record. Lineage: Eukaryota; Metazoa; Chordata; Aves; Galliformes; Phasianidae.
CGUGCUGCGGUGGGUUGCUGAGGGCGGUUGUGCGGUGUGAGCAGUCUGCCUCCUGAGGAGGAACAGGGCGUUAAAGCCGCGAUGGGCUUUGCUAGCUUUCCUGCAGCAAUUGAGAGUAAACUUCAGUUUUAAUGGAGUGCUUUUAUGGAAUAUUUUCAUAACGAAGAUGAUAUUCCAAGGUACAGCAUAGCUUGCUAUGAGGCUGGUAUGAUUGACUCAUCCAACUUUUGGUUUGCCUGGGCCUCACUGAGCGAAGAGGAUUUGUCACGGUACGUGUGUGCAGAGGUCAUACCGAAAGUAGUGCCUCCUAUCUACCUCCAUGGAAAUGACAACAAGCACAGAGCACAAUGACACUGUUUGGUAGAGCAGAUUCUCAGCUACAAAACACUUUUUCAACACAGUCACCACCACUAGCUGUGCAUAUUUUUUGCCAGCGAUGAACAGGAGCUACAUGCCACGCUUGUAAAUCCAUACCAGCAGAGGUGCCCCGCCAUUGCCAUCACAUCUGCUAAAAAGUAUAGAUGGAGGUCAUAUAUUAAAAUAAACACUAUACAUAGGCCUAGAAUUUCUGUUACAAAAGCUAGUAGAUUUUCAUCUGGAACUUAAAGUUGAUUUUAUAAGUUUGUUCACUAGUUAGGCCAUUAGUCCAUCAGUUUGUGUGUUUUAAGGUAAAUAGAUCGUUUCUGCUUCCAGGACCGUUGGCUGGUCCCUCCCAUGAGAAUUACUUUCAUUUAAUGCCUUCUGCACGGCAACAGACAAACAAAUAAAUAAAUAGAGAAAAGAAAAUGAGAGUGUAAUGUGCCCCGUGGUCCUCUGGUGAGAGUGUAAACUGAUGAUUGCCGUGACAGCGUUACUUUGGCUGACUUUGAUUUUCCAUUACAGACAGUGAAUGGUUGUCUGUCCAUCUGAAGAACAAAGGGGCAGACUGUAGAUAGAUGCUUCCUGCAGUGGCAGGAAUGCCUGCUGCUCUGCUGCCUCCUCCUGACCAGAUCCAAGAUGCUGUAUGUGACACUGAGAGGAAUUUGGGUUUCGUCUCUUCCAGAGGAAUGCUGUACCCACCUUGCAUGGUGCGAGUGGUAGCAGAGCUCCUCGUGAAGCAUACAGAAGGUCUGAGCAGAGCUGGAGUACUUGGCAUCUUGCAAAGUCAGGUCACACUGCUAUUUGCUCUGAAAAUGAGCAGCUGCUUGCCAAGGUGAGGAGAAAUAAUAGAAAAAGUUACGGUUGUGUUUUCACCCAUGCAAUGGAAAGAGAUAUCCUCCAUUUGUGAGCUCUCUGGUUCAAGCCAGCUGGGCCUGUUGGGAAACUUUCAGGACCACUGCAGAGAAGAUAACAGAAGCAGCAUGCAGUCAGUACCCCUUUGUGUUGUAACAAACCAUGAAAGUGCUGUGCAGAUUCCUCUGCCCUGGAAAUUCUCCCCGUGGUGAUUUAAAAGGAAAUGUAAUAUGCAUCAUUGUUGAAGUGGGCUGCAUUUCUCAGUGAAUGACCUCACUUCGUUGUCCUCACAGCUUGUGUUUGGAAACUGCAGGCUGUGGUGAUGCUCUAAAAAGGUGGUCUCCCAGACUGCACAAUGGUGCAGCGCCUUGCCCUUCCUCUGCUUUUGGCACUGUGUUUUACACGCAAAUUCAAAUCACCUGCUGGGCUAAACCAUCAGUUCCAGUUAACAGCUUUGUGAAGUAAUAGUGCAGCAGGGGAAGACCCAGUAGGAAGGCUUUGGCUGAGCAAUGCACUAAACCUUGCUGAAUUCAUUUUGUAGCGAGAUCCUUAGGCAGAGGGAUCUUUUGACAGCAAGAUCUGAGUCAAUGCAAUAACAGUAACAAGAAGGGCAAGUGUGCAGGGAGCUGCAGGCUUGGAACCUGGGACAAAAUGGGAGACCAGGCAUGCUACUGAGGCGUGAUCACUGGUGAUAACAGUGCUUGGUUGCUGAGGAAGGACAGAUGACACAUUUGGCAGUUGGUUCUGUGAUGGUACUUGCAAUGGAUGGUAGUCAUGGUGCUGCGAUUGGGAUGAUCCUCCAAGAGCUAGUCCUGCGUUGGUAUUGGUAACACUUGGCUAGAACGACCUGUGCUUUACCUUAGAAAAAAGCAGGAUUAUCACAUGAGUGUAAGCAUAUCCAAGUGUAUCUGCAUGUUUGUAGUACACAUCUGCAUGACAUCAGCAGCAAAAUGAACUUUGAAGUAGUUUCCCAUUCCUCCGUCUAUGUGUGGUGCGUAAGAAAAUCAAAGCACUGAUAGAGA